Molecule: ribosomal RNA, 459 nt
Filed under: uncultured bacterium
Lineage: Bacteria
Description: partial 16S ribosomal RNA
Rfam family: Bacterial small subunit ribosomal RNA
Source: RNAcentral
CCUACGGGAGGCAGCAGUGAGGAAUAUUGGUCAAUGGGCGCGAGCCUGAACCAGCCAAGUAGCGUGAAGGAUGACUGCCCUACGGGUUGUAAACUUCUUUUAUAAAGGAAUAAAGUGAGGCACGUGUGCCUUUUUGUAUGUACUUUAUGAAUAAGGAUCGGCUAACUCCGGGCCAGCAGCCGCGGUAAUACGGAGGAUGCGAGCGUUAGCCGGAUUCAUGGGGUUUAAGGGGUGCGCAGGGGGGCCUUUAAGCCGGCGGUGAAGUCGCGGGGCUCAACCCCGCCGGGCCGUCGAAACUGGGGGCCUUGAGUGCGGCGGAGGCAUGCGGAAGGCGCGGUGUAGCGGUGAAAUGCAUAGAGAGAGCGCAGAACCCCGAUUGCGAAGGCAGCGUGCCGGCUUCCGACUGACGCUGAAGCACGAAAGCGUGGGGAUCGAACAGGAUUAGAUACCCCUGUAGUC